UAUGGUGUGUGCCAGCAGCCGCGGUAAUACGUAUGGUGCAAGCGUUAUCCGGAUUUACUGGGUGUAAAGGGAGCGCAGGCGGUGCGGCAAGUCUGAUGUGAAAGCCCGGGGCUCAACCCCGGUACUGCAUUGGAAACUGUCGUACUAGAGUGUCGGAGGGGUAAGCGGAAUUCCUAGUGUAGCGGUGAAAUGCGUAGAUAUUAGGAGGAACACCAGUGGCGAAGGCGGCUUACUGGACGAUAACUGACGCUGAGGCUCGAAAGCGUGGGGAGCAAACAGG
This 280-nucleotide ribosomal RNA is filed under the name Roseburia faecis M72/1. RNAcentral describes it as "partial 16S ribosomal RNA". It matches the Rfam family "Bacterial small subunit ribosomal RNA", at positions 497 to 776 of the family's 1533-position model. The record is from RNAcentral. Lineage: Bacteria; Bacillati; Bacillota; Clostridia; Lachnospirales; Lachnospiraceae.